UCCCGGGGGCCCAGCGGCGCGCCUGUCACGGCCGCAGGUGGAUUUUUAGUUUCAAACCGUGACAGGGGGGGCGGGCCGACAGGGGGCGCUGUGGUGGUGCGAUAGUGGGUCGUGAUAGUGAGAAGGAGGGCCUUGGUGGUGAUAGGGGGGGACAUGGUGAUAAGGGGGGAUGGGGGGAUGGGGGGGGUCCUGCUGAUAAGGGAGGUCCUGCUGAUGCUGUGCUGAGCCGUGGUGACACCGACACACCUGGGGACACACACAGACAUGGUGGAACAUGGCAAAUGGCGACCAGGGAUGGGGACACCCCCCCCAAUAUGGUGACCCCAGUGGCAAUGACCCCAGUUGACCCCCAUUAUGUUGACCCCCCCCCAUGACAGUGACCCCAGUAAUGGUGACCCCAGGUGACCCCCCCCAAUACGGUGACACCCCCAUGAUGGCGACCCCAGUGACACUGACCCCAGGUGACCCCCCGGUCACAUUCCCCCCCCUGCCGUUGCCCCCCCCGCCCCCCAUUCCCAUACUGCCGUCCCCGUUUGGUCCGUUCCGUUCAGUCCGGUCCUAUGGUUCCGUUCCCGCAGCAGAGCCCUCAGCAGGGCCGGCAGCCCCAUGGAGUCGCACCACGGCUCCCAUAUAGGGCCGUUCGAUUCCCUUAUAAGGGCUCUGAUCCCAUAGGGGGCCCUCGUCCCAUAUAGCGGGCAUUGCUCCCUUAUAGGGCCGUGGCUCCCCAUAUAGGGCCAUGCCUCCCUGAUAAUAGGGGCCGUGCUCCUCUAUAGGGCCCUGAUCCCAUAUAGGGCCCUGAUCCCAUAUAGGGCUGUGCUCCCUUAUAGGGCCGUGCUCCCCUAUAGGGCCAUGCUCCCUUAUGGGGCCAUGCUCCUCUAUAGGGCCCUGAUCCCAUAUAGGGCCCUGAUCCCUUAUAGAGCCAUGCUCCCAUAGCCGUCCAUGCUCCACUAUAGGGCCGUGCUCCCCGUUAGCCAUCCGUGCUCCAUUCCCGCCUCCAGCCCCAUCCCCCACCUCCUCUUAAUCCC
This 1025-nucleotide long non-coding RNA is filed under the name Coturnix japonica (Japanese quail). RNAcentral describes it as "lncRNA (ENSCJPG00005002639.1)". Lineage: Eukaryota; Metazoa; Chordata; Aves; Galliformes; Phasianidae. The record is from RNAcentral.